This 451-nucleotide ribosomal RNA is filed under the name uncultured bacterium. Its description in RNAcentral is "bacterial SSU rRNA". It matches the Rfam family "Bacterial small subunit ribosomal RNA", at positions 355 to 825 of the family's 1533-position model. The record is from RNAcentral.
UGAGGAAUCUUCCGCAAUGGGCGAAAGCCUGACGGAGCGACACCGCGUGAAGGAUGAAGUCUUUUUUAGAUGUAAACUUCUGUUCUGAGGGACGAAAUUUUUGACGGUACCUCAGGAGAAAGCAUCGGCUAACCCUGUGCCAGCAGCCGCGGUAAUACAGAGGGUGCAAGCGUUAAUCGGACUUACUGGGCGUAAAGGGUGCGUAGGCGGAAGGAUAAGUUAGUUGUGAAAGGCCUGGGCUUAACCUAGGAACUGCAAUUAAGACUGUCCAUCUAGAGUUGAGUAGAGGGGAGCGGAAUUUCCGGUGUAGCGGUGAAAUGCGUAGAUAUCGGAAGGAACAUCAGUUGCGAAGGCGGCUCUCUGGACUCAAACUGACGCUGAGGCGCGAAAGCCAGGGGAGCAAACGGGAUUAGAUACCCAAGUAGUCCCUGAGCGGGCUGGCAAGGCGCAU